Molecule: ribosomal RNA, 521 nt
Filed under: uncultured Eubacteriales bacterium
Lineage: Bacteria; Bacillati; Bacillota; Clostridia; Eubacteriales
Description: bacterial SSU rRNA
Rfam family: Bacterial small subunit ribosomal RNA
Source: RNAcentral
GACGAACGCUGGCGGCGUGCUUAACACAUGCAAGUCGAACGGGGACUAUAUAACGGAAGCUUUCGGGUGGAAGACUUAUAGUUCUAGUGGCGGACGGGUGAGUAACGCGUGAGGAACCUGCCCUAAAGUGGGGAAUAACAACGAGAAAUCGUUGCUAAUACCGCAUAAGACCACAGAAUCACAUGAUUCAGGGGUCAAAGAUUUAUCGCUUUAGGAUGGCCUCGCGUCCCAUUAGCUAGUUGGUAGGGUAAUGGCCUACCAAGGCGACGAUGGGUAGCCGAGCUGAGAGGCUGAUCGGCCACACUGGGACUGAGACACGGCCCAGACUCCUACGGGAGGCAGCAGUGGGGAAUAUUGGGCAAUGGGCGAAAGCCUGACCCAGCAACGCCGCGUGAAGGAAGAAGGUCUUCGGAUUGUAAACUUUUGUUCUUGGGGACGAAAAAUGACGGUACCCAAGGAGGAAGCCCCGGCUAACUACGUGCCAGCCGCCGCCGUAACACCUGAGACUACCAAGGCACACA